Molecule: ribosomal RNA, 470 nt
Filed under: Tropidocephala sp. YXH-2017
Lineage: Eukaryota; Metazoa; Arthropoda; Insecta; Hemiptera; Delphacidae
Description: partial 16S ribosomal RNA
Source: RNAcentral
UUUAAAUAGCUGCAGUAAUUUAACUGUACAAAGGUAGCAUAAUAAUUAGUCUUUUAAUUGAGGUCUAGAAUGAAUGGUUUAACAAAAUAUUAACUUUAUUACUUUAAUUCAAUUUAAUUUAAUUUUUUAGUUAAAAAGCUAAAAUAAUUAAAUGGGACGAUAAGACCCUAUAGAUCUUUAAUUUUUUUUUUAAUAAAAAUUUUUUUUUGGUAUUAUCAAUGUUUAAUUUAAUUAAAAUUUUAAUUGGGGUGAUUUAAAAAAUUUAAAACUUUUUAAUGUUUUUUCAUAUAUUAAUGUUUAUUUGAUCUUAAAUUUUAGAUUAUUAGAUUAAGAUACCUUAGGGAUAACAGCGUAAUAAAUUUGAAUAGUUCAUAUUGUUAAAUUUGUUUACGACCUCGAUGUUGAAUUAAUUUUAAAAUUUGAAGUAGAAAUUGAAGUUUUUAGGUCUGUUCGACCUUUAAUUAAUUACA